RNA transcript from Hylaeus anthracinus, 2522 nucleotides. It is a transcript of the gene named vacuolar protein-sorting-associated protein 36-like, with no coding region annotated. The transcript is spliced from 2 exons. Lineage: Eukaryota; Metazoa; Arthropoda; Insecta; Hymenoptera; Colletidae. The record is from RefSeq and is a predicted model, not a curated record.
AGUAAGUAUGUUGCGAAUUAUAAAGUAUGUUUGGUCUCAUUUUAAUCAGAAAAAUUUCAGGAAUAUGAUGGUAAAAGUUUCACAACAAAACAGUUAAUAAUAAAAAAGUUUCAUCGUUGCAUUACAUUGUCUCACCGACAUACCCAGAUGUUCUAUCUCCGUCCUCUUCCUUUAUUCGCUGUCCUCCUCUACGUUCGAAGCUUGUCGGCAACUAUUAUGACAAUACCACUGUUGUAAUUAAAACGUAAGUAUAAUACUUUUGUAUUAUAUUACUUUAUAUUAUAUUUUCUAUUUUUUUUUUUAUUUAAUUUUGUUUUUCAGGCACGGCUGGCGGAGAUUUAAUAUUCUUUAUAUAUUGUUUAUCAUUUCGAAUGUUCCUGUAUGAAAUUUAAUUAAUUAUUGAAAGGGUGAAAACAGCACCUAACGUGCGGGUAAAACCCAUAUUUUUUUAAAUGAUUUGAAAACUAGGACAAACAACGGCAGCUAACAACUGACCGGGAGUGGUGACUCCUUACCAUAGCACCGAGAGCCCAUGCUACUCGGGAGAGGUAAGAACCGGGCGUAGACGGGGCAACUCGUAACGCGACCGGAAGGCUGUCUGCGAGAUCAUAAGCGCCCGAAUGCAACGCAUCGUUUGAUCUUGUCGAAUCUUAUUGUUAGAUGGGUUUACUAAUUGCCGCGACGAGUCGGCGAACUGUUCGCGUGUGGAUAUCGGUCAAGAGAGUAAAGCCGAAAAAGUCCCUCGUGGGGCCUUUUGUGCUAAAGUUCCGAUAGCUUGCAUUUAGGGAAGAAAUAUCAAACGACACCGUCAAAGUGCAGAUCGCGCCCGUUCGACGGCGAAUGCCGAGUGAUCAUCGACGAGCAGGCUUUGUGUCUGGACGCGGAGCCGCGAGUCGGACGCGAAAAGAAGAAACCGCGCGACAAUAACCCGAAGGAGGACACGUGCCGCAAGCACGUGCCAAAUUCUCGAAGGUUCGAUGGAGUUUUGGUAGGAAACUCAGGAGGGGAUGGAUAUUAUAAAGCGGCAUCAAAUCAGUCGUCAGUCAGAUAUAAUCGUGAAACCGUCGAAGAAUAAUAUAUUAGUAGUACAGCAGUAAAUACCGAGCAGAAAAUGGCCCAAAGCAAUGAUAAGUAUAAUUCCAACUUCAGUGGAAAAUAAAUAUACUGCAUAAUUGAAACACAUUCAUGUAAUAUAUAUCCUAUAUAUCUUUUUUCUCUUUCAGAAGAAAAUAUGUGCUUGAAUUUAGAGGAACAAAUGUACAAAAAGAUGGAGGAAAUGCAAAUAUGUAUGCAGCAGAGGGAGGAGCACAGCAGCAGCAACAGCAGCGGCAACAGGAGCAGGUGCUGCUGGCUCUGCAGCAGUUGCAAGCACAGCAAAUAGACUUCCAACGGCGAUUCCAGACACAGCAGCAGCAGCCGCAACAGCAACAAAGAAAAGCUGAAAAUAUGGUCGUGAAAAAUAUGGAACUCCUGCGCCGCAUAGUUCCGGGUUAGGUCGCCAGAGUAGCGCCCCGAUCACGCUACCGCGUGAAGCGCUGCACCCCCGCCACGAGAACUACCCCCGUCGCGCGCCGCUAACAAACUUGAAGCCAGCAGGAUUACUCCAGACACCAGUAUUGCAACAACGAUUUGAAGUAGUUGCAAUGGACCUAUUCGGACCUCUCCCACCAGGACCUCAAAAUGAAAAAUGGGUUUUCAUUGUGGAAGAUUAUGCUACAAGAUGGACGGCGUUAUUCGCAUUGGACAACGCGACAAAAGAAAAUUGUGCGUAGACUUUAGUCAACGAAAUUUUUCUCCGAUUUGGUGUUCCACGGCGCUUGAUCAGCGAUAAUAGGACACAAUUCAUAAGCAGUAUGAUACAGCAGAUCACGUAUUGUUUAAAUAUCGAUCACAAGUUCACACCUGUAUACCAUCCAAGUGCUAACCCAGUAGAACGAAGGAAUAGGAAACUCAAGACACAACUCUCUAUAUUGCUGGGAAAUAUAGAGAGCAUAAGCAAUGGCCCUCCAAACUUCCAGCAAUUCGUUUUGCUAUCAACACGACAAUAUGUCAAGGUACUGCCUUUACCCCGGCGGAUCUAAUGGUCGCCAGGGAACUCAGAGCCCCAGCGGAAAAUACAAGUGAUUUACGUCAGAUAAUCAAUAACGAGAACUUCAUACCGGAAGUAACACUAAGAUUACUUCAAAUGACGGAAGUACUGGACAAGGCACGAGAAACCCAUGAACAGGAACAAGAUCAGAGAAAACUUAAUGCAGAUGCUAAACGACGCCCUGCACCUACUUACAACCCAGGAGAGAAGGUUUGGGUUACCUCUCAUGCCCAAUAAAAAGAAACAGUUUAUAUAAUUUUCCAAAUUUAUUUCAUUUCCUUCAAACUAAUCCCCAUUAGUUGAAUCCCUAAUAGAUGAUAGGCAUUAGUCAAUUGAAUUUCAUUUUAAUAUUUAAAAAUGAAUGAUGUUUAUUCUAGAUUUAGAAAAAAAAAAUAUUUUUGUAAUAUUAAAUAAAUUAAAUUAAAUAAAUAAA